Long non-coding RNA from Cyprinus carpio (common carp), 481 nucleotides. The record is from Ensembl. Lineage: Eukaryota; Metazoa; Chordata; Actinopteri; Cypriniformes; Cyprinidae.
AAUAAUGAUCUCUGACUGUGGGUUUGGGAUUUGACUUUUUUGUUCUUCAAGGACAUUCAUCCUGCUGCCAAGAACUGUCAAACAGGAGCAUCUCAGUAUAAAGAGGCUGCAGCUCGUUGCACAGACUAAGCAACCUAAUUGGACAACUUUAUAAGCUGAAGUUCACCUGGAAAUGUAAGAAGUGUAACAGUGCUGCGACAAAUGUUCUUGCACAUUUGGCUACAGAUGAGAUGAGAAAAGACACAUGCUUUAAAAGGCAUUAGGAAUUUGUUUUAUCCAAAAUAACCACCAUCUCAAAAGGUACAAACAUCUUGAGGCAUGUUAAUUAUUCACAAACACAUUUAAGUUGAUUAAACAAAAAGCAUCAUAAUGUUUGUCUGUCUUUGACCUUGGUUUAAAGGAAUAUUUUGGGUUCCAUGCAACCAAUCAAAAAAAAAAAAAAAAAGAUAAAUAAAUAAAAGCAUACAGGCUCUUACGAUCA